AAUAUUGGACAUUGGGCGAAAGCCUGAUCCAGCCAUGCCGCGUGUGUGAAGAAGGUCUUCGGAUUGAAAAGUACUUUAAGUGGGGAGGAAGGGACGUAGAUUAAUGUUCUGAAAUUUUGACGUUACCAACAGAAUAAGAACCGGCUAACUCCGUGACAGAAGCCGCGGUAAUACGAAGGGUGCAAGCUUUAAUCGGAAUUACUGGGCGUAAAGCGCGCGUAGGUGGUUUGUCAAGUUAGAAGUGAAAGCACCGGGCUCAACCUGGGAACUGCUUUCAAAACUGGCAAGCUAGAGUAUGGCAGAGGGUGGUGGAAUGUCCUGUGUAGCGGUGAGAUGCGUAGAUAUAGGAAGGAUCAUCAGUGGCGAAGGCGACCACCUGGGCUAAUACUGACACUGAGGUGCGAAAGCAUGGGGAGCAAACAGG
This 424-nucleotide ribosomal RNA is filed under the name uncultured bacterium. RNAcentral describes it as "partial 16S ribosomal RNA". It matches the Rfam family "Bacterial small subunit ribosomal RNA", at positions 360 to 776 of the family's 1533-position model. The record is from RNAcentral.